Molecule: non-coding RNA, 78 nt
Organism: Podarcis lilfordi (Lilford's wall lizard)
Lineage: Eukaryota; Metazoa; Chordata; Lepidosauria; Squamata; Lacertidae
Source: the annotation of a GenBank genome assembly
GGACAUGCGGAUAGCUCAGUUGCUUAGAGUGUGUUACUGAUGAUGUCAAGGUUGCAGGUUUGAUCCCCGUGCAGUGCU